UCUUGCCUGGUCGCAUUUCCCUGGAGUUGGGCGGGGGGGGGCAGAUUGGGGGAUGUAGAGUUGGAAUGGUCAGAGUGGUGUAGUUGUGCUCUGUGGGAGUGGGAAGUUACGGCACUGGCCGCGCUCUGGCAUGCGUGGCAAAGCUAGGCAUGGACACGCAGCACACCUGAGUAGAUGUGUUUGUGCAGGGGAUGCCAGCCGUACUUAGUCAUCUCAUUUCACAGAUGAAAGUGCCCUAGGAAAUGUGGUGUUUGGCUUUUGGGCUCGGCCUGCGUUUUGGACAGUGAAGGAAAUUUUGGGCUGUGUGCUCUGAGAACAUGGCUGGGUGCCACUACCUCCUGGGUCUGAUCCUUGCUCUGCCACAGACUCACUGGGUGACCUUGGACAAGUCACCCGGGCCAGGUCUGCCCUACUGACCUAUAUCGGUAUAACUAUGUCGCUCAGAGGUGUGAAAAAUCCACACCCCCCCGGGCGAUGUAGUUCUACUGACCUAACCUCCUGUGUAACACUAGGUUGUGGGAGAGCUUCUCCCGUCGACAUAGCUACCAUCUCUCGGGGAGGCGGAUUAAUGACACCAAGGGGAGGAGCUCUCCUGUAAGCAUAGGAGAAUCUUCACUAAGGCGCUACAAUGGCACCACUCCAGUAUGUGAAGGCAAGGCUUUAGUCACUCUGUGCCUCAGUUUCCCUCCCUGCAGUGAUGAUGAUGAGAUGGGUAGUUUAACUGGCUCAUGGCCAGAUAGAUGCUGCCUAGAUUACACUCCCUGUUAGCUGAGAGGUGACCCUGUGUUUCUCGAGCAAUGUCAAGCACCCAGCAUUUGGUUACUGUUGCAGGAGUUGCAGUCACUGUGUGCGUCAGCACUGACUGUAGACACGUAGUGAGCCGUCACGGGAGCUAGGAGACAGGCACACAAACUUUCAGUGACAAAGGGGGCACUGCACAGCUCCAGCUUGUUUCUGCAUGACUGCAUCAGAGUGCGGGGAGUGGAGUGCGCUGUCACCCACCCAGAAGGAUAGUUGGGGUUGCACGCACCCCUGGGGCCUCGACUGAGCUCAUAGACUCGUGUAUCUCCUAUGAGAACUGUGAAGCGGGGGAUGAGAGGCUGGAGUCCUUGCUACGAAUGGAGUGACUGGUAGGAGUGCAAGACUGAGAGCAGAAUGCUGCAGCUAGAACAGUCCUACCAAACGCCGCUCUUGGCUGAUGCUACCACCUUGCGUGCAUUUGUGUGUUUCUCUCUGCUGUCCUUCUGUAUGAAUGAGGCAAUAGAAGUCUACACAUGCUGCACUCUGCACAGCCAGUGGGUGUUUGGGGAGAUUGUCACAGGGAUUUGGAAAACCCCAAGAGCCCAAGAGAGGCAUGGGAGCAGGAGAAGGCCUCCAUGGUGGCAUUGCCAGAGGUGCCAGCGGUGGCUUUUGGCAGCUGCCCGGCAAUUUGUACUCUCCGAUUCCUAUUCCUCUGUGUUUGGUUUGAGACUGGGCACAGGGUAGCUGUGACUUGCUGCCUGGUGCAUUAACUCUUGGGCCUUGUUUUCACAAGAGACAUUUGGGGCACUAACCACGGUGUGGUCUCUCCUAGCAUGCCUGUAACACACCUCGCGUCCACACACACAGUGCACAGGCAUUACAGCUAUCAUUUGGGUUAGAUUUGCUUUGAGCACAUGUUAAGGGAGAUCAGUGGAUGAGAUGAGUGACAUAACAGCUCUCACAGUACAAAUAGCCUUCCCCCUCCUGUCCCACAGUGCCUAGCUGGCCUGUCUGGUCUGUUUGCUGCACUCCACUGCACAGGGGUGAAGUUAUUCAGAAGCUAGUAAUUUGUACGUAUAGCACCGCACACACUGGAGUUCAGUUGUGCACUAUUUUCACAGUGAACAAGAUCUUCUAUUUCUGCAAUAUUUGAUUCUAUCACCAUGUCUCAGAGGAGACCAUCAUAUGAACAUGGUGCCAGCUGGUGUGAAGCUCACAUACAGGCUCCGGUAUCCAUCUAGGGAGAGGUGCUUUGAUACCAACUGAACUUCUUCACACACCACACGUUAAUGUAUGACCAGGUAUCUGAGCAGCUGUUUGACGUAGGCAUCACCAGGAGAAGCAAGUGGUGCCACAAGAAGAAAAAGGGACUGAAAGGCCUAUGCAACAUGACCCAGGACAAUAACAGUCUCUCCAGCUCAGGAUGGAAAACUGACCCCUUUUAUAAUGAGCGGCACGGAACUGUUGGGACUCACCCAUCCACCCAGCCUGCAGAGAGCCCAGGAGUGCCAUGCAGAGCACUUGUGACGGACAAGGAGCAUCAGCUCCAAGAACUGGGUGAACUGUCAGUAUGAGGAGUCAGAAUGGGAGACGACAGGCGUAUUACAGGGAUCUCUUCCUGGGGACGGAGAUAGUUUGGGAGGAGGAGGAAUUGGGCCACAGUGCCUUUACAGCCAUAUGGACAUGCCCGAACAGGGAUGGGCAGGUGCAUUAGCUCCCCGGUGAGAAAGUUUCAGGUCCUGGAAAAGGAAGUGCGGAGAAGACCUGUGUGAACAGGGACUCUGGCCCCUCCUUGAACUUGUACAAGUAUUUAAAGAGGCUCCUCUCAGAACGCGUGUAGGCUGAGCAGGACAGGGGACUUAUGUAAGGCUUUUGCUGGAGCGCGAGAGAUGUGAAUGGAGGAGGCAGGGCCCAGACGUGCAGGGCUCAGGAAAAACUGCCUGCCAAGUUGACACCAUCUGGUCUUGGCAGCCAUGCCUUCCCCUCCUGCCCAACACCACUGGGGCCCUGUACCACCACAGCCAUUCUCAGGCACCCCACUCUUUUACAAGACUGUGGAAAGGAGAACUGGAGCCCAAAAGCAAGGCACUAUCAGGAACCUCAGCAUGCUUGCUCUAGCCGGUUGUGGUGUAACUCUGGUGACUUGUUUUAGUAUUGCAGCAGACCUGCAGCCUUGUUUGUAUUUAAUAAAGUUGUGGAAAAGCAUCUGUGAUUUCAAUA
Trachemys scripta elegans is the source of this 2961-nucleotide long non-coding RNA. RefSeq lists it as uncharacterized. The record is from RefSeq and is a predicted model, not a curated record. NCBI's taxonomy places the organism in Eukaryota, Metazoa, Chordata, Testudines, Emydidae. The transcript is spliced from 2 exons.